CCUUGUACACACCGCCCGUCACACCAUGGGAGUUGGCUUUACCCGAAGGCGUUGUGCUAACCGCAAGGAGGCAGACGACCACGGUAGGGUCAGCGACUGGGGUG
This 104-nucleotide ribosomal RNA is filed under the name uncultured bacterium. Its description in RNAcentral is "partial 16S ribosomal RNA". It matches the Rfam family "Bacterial small subunit ribosomal RNA", at positions 1379 to 1482 of the family's 1533-position model. The record is from RNAcentral.